RNAcentral lists this transfer-messenger RNA (323 nucleotides) under Arenicellales bacterium. RNAcentral describes it as "partial transfer-messenger RNA". It matches the Rfam family "transfer-messenger RNA". From Rfam's summary of the family: Bacterial tmRNA, also known as 10Sa RNA or SsrA, is named for its dual tRNA and mRNA-like properties. Its role is to liberate the mRNA from a stalled ribosome. To accomplish this part of the tmRNA is used as a reading frame that ends in a translation stop signal. Lineage: Bacteria; Pseudomonadati; Pseudomonadota; Gammaproteobacteria; Arenicellales. The record is from RNAcentral.
GGGGGCGACUGGCUUCGACGGAGGUCGCGAAACCAUCGGAGCAUGCCGAGGUGCNNNNNNNNNNCCCGCAAACUAUUAGUUGCCAACGACGACAACUACGCCCUAGCAGCUUAAAGCCGCUAGCCUCGUGCCGGCUUCUCCUGUGGAGUUGGAUUUUCGGGGUCAAAUCACACAGGAUCGCGCUGUAAUGUGUCUGUUAUUACAUCGUUAAACUCAAGCAGGCUCGCUGAACCGGACCCUGUCUGUCGGGCCCUGUUCAGUCAAAUUAUAGACAGACUAAGCAUGUAGCUGCCGGUGUGCGUAGGGCUUGCGGACGCGGGUUC